Zingiber officinale is the source of this 726-nucleotide long non-coding RNA. RefSeq lists it as uncharacterized. The transcript is spliced from 3 exons. The record is from RefSeq and is a predicted model, not a curated record. NCBI's taxonomy places the organism in Eukaryota, Viridiplantae, Streptophyta, Magnoliopsida, Zingiberales, Zingiberaceae.
CCGUGCCCUAGCUUCCCACACAGCGCCGCGCCUCCUUCAUCCCCGAGCCCCUCCCUCUCACGAACCUUCUCCUCAAAACCCGCCGACUACCAGCUCUGCCGAGUUCUCCUCGUUCCCGUGCCCUAAGCCCGACGCCGCCACCAUCCCUCUCGCGACCUUGUUGUGCCACCCAUCGCCACCGCGCACGAUCGACAGCCGCGACCGCCUCUCGCGCCGACUCCUCUCCGAGCCCGCACGCGAGCACCAAGAUGCCGUCAACUCUCCUUCUCACGCAAGCACCCAAUGUCGCCGACCCUCUCCUUGCACGAGCACCUUAGACGCCACCUCUUCUCUCUGCCCUAGCGUCGACCGGCCGAUCCACUGCCACCUCCGGCCACGAUGAGAGCUAGCCAGCAAGUAUUUUCCCCUAUGUUUGAAUGAGAUUCAUGAGGACGCUGAUUCGAGAUGAGCGUAUUGACGUAGGGCUUUUGAUUCAAUCUUCUUGCUGAGGUAACAGGUAGAUGAGUCAUGGAUGCUUGGAGAGUCCCGGCUGCCAGUCCCACGUCACAUAUGAGGAUAGUUUUCUUUUUGGAUUGUGUUACUGUUUGGGUGACAUGUUAAUUUUGCGUAUUUUGCUUUUGAACGAGUCACUGUGGAUUUUGGAGUUUAGUUUGGUGGUUGCAGGUAUUUUGUUAGUGUCGUUGUUGGUCUUAUGUUCAUAUUGUUUUGUGUUUUCCGCUGCGUUUA